AGUUUUCACAUUAACUGACCCCGAAGUGGUCAUGUUAACUUAUAUUCAAGUUUGACACAGAGGAAGUUCGUUUAAAGCCUACAGGACAGAAUUCACAGGCAUCACGGAAACAAAUUAGAUUUGGCAAUUCCUCGAGGGGAGUUUUCAACAAGUUAAAUGGAAAUGCGGACGAUGACCGAUCAACAUUUCUGUUCUGCAAAGAGCAUUGACUCAAGAGCACAGUAUGUAUCAUUCUAUAGAUCUAUACAGAAAAUGCAUACUUUACUGCAUUGAACACAACUUUAUAUAUCUGUUGCAGUUAUCUGUAUAUAACAUUUCCUCUCUAUGUUCAGUUAUAUGUCGAUAUUUUUUAACAAGAUGAAUCGCAAAUAUGCUGAGAGCAAUGGCUGCGUUUUAGCCUGUUAAAGUAGGUUUUCAAAUAUCACUUAUGACCACUUCUUUGUUUAAAAGCGACAUUAUCUGAGAAGUGAUGACCUUUUGUCCAGCGAAAUCGUGAAAAUUUUUGCAAGCCUACAUUAGUGAAUAUGCCGGGGAAACGUGUAUUCAAGUAAUUGCAAAGACAACAAAUAUGAUUUUUGCGGCAUAGAAUUAUUGCGCGGUACCAAAACAUGUGAAAAAGUCUGGAUUCUGGUGGAAUGUAUGAGUAUACAUAUAAAUUUAACUUAAACAUAAAAUAUUAUUGAAAAAAUGGUAUUAUAUCCUA
Long non-coding RNA from Mercenaria mercenaria, 703 nucleotides. RefSeq lists it as uncharacterized. Lineage: Eukaryota; Metazoa; Mollusca; Bivalvia; Venerida; Veneridae. The transcript has 3 exons. The record is from RefSeq and is a predicted model, not a curated record.